RNAcentral lists this transfer-messenger RNA (357 nucleotides) under Calditrichales bacterium. It matches the Rfam family "transfer-messenger RNA". Rfam says of the family: Bacterial tmRNA, also known as 10Sa RNA or SsrA, is named for its dual tRNA and mRNA-like properties. Its role is to liberate the mRNA from a stalled ribosome. Lineage: Bacteria; Pseudomonadati; Calditrichota; Calditrichia; Calditrichales. The record is from RNAcentral.
GGGGACGAUUUGGCUUCGACGGACAGGAUGCAGUUACAGAUGGCAUUCCGGGAUUAUCGGAUAUCCCGUGAUUAUCCGGUAGCACGAUAAGUGCCGAUUAUGAUUACGCACUGGCAGCCUAGAUAGAGCUGUCACAUUCUGACUUACACCAAUCUGCCGGUGUUUGACAGAAUGCCAUUCCAGGUAGAUCGGUUUCUGGUGUUGUCAGAUCACCAGAAGACGUACUUAUUCUGGCUCGCGUAGGUGUUGGUGGGUCACCAUACCUGCCUCUAUGCUAAAACCAAUUGGUGACUAAGGAUGUAGAUGUCUGUAAAAGUGCCUGUUCGGACCCGGGUUCAAUUCCCGGCGUCUCCACAA